RNAcentral lists this long non-coding RNA (482 nucleotides) under Trifolium pratense (red clover). RNAcentral describes it as "long non-coding RNA (TPRA_LNC002311)". Lineage: Eukaryota; Viridiplantae; Streptophyta; Magnoliopsida; Fabales; Fabaceae. The record is from RNAcentral.
GAGUUCUUAUCAAAGGACCAGAGUCACUACAAAAGUCUCAAACCAUCAGGUUCGCACCGGUGUCGAUGCUCAACCAAAGGUGGACCGGUAAUGCCAGUUCGUGCAGGAUGGUAACCUUUCGACCGGUUCAGGCAGUACCAGAGAGCAAAACUGGGAGUGUCGAAGAGAGCAUAAAGAACGCUGAGGAGGCGUGUGCAGGAGAUGCCACUACCGGUGAGUGUGUGGCAGCAUGGGAUGAGGUGGAGGAACUAAGUGCGGCGGCAAGCCAUGCAAGGGAUAAAAAGAAAUUAGAUUCUGACCCUCUUGAGACAUACUGCAAGGACAACCCAGAGACUGAUGAGUGUCGUACCUAUGAUAACUGAUAUACUAUCAAUAUCAAAUCUCCCUUUUAUUAUUAUUUCUGUUGUGUAUUAAUUAAUUUUUAUGUAAGCAAGAUUGAAUAAUCCAUAUAUACCAUCUUUACAUAUAAACUAGUUAUUAUU